This 489-nucleotide ribosomal RNA is filed under the name uncultured bacterium. RNAcentral's name for it is "partial 16S ribosomal RNA". It matches the Rfam family "Bacterial small subunit ribosomal RNA", at positions 28 to 507 of the family's 1533-position model. The record is from RNAcentral.
GAUGAACGCUAGCUACAGGCUUAACACAUGCAAGUCGAGGGGCAGCAUGAUUGAAGCUUGCUUCAAUCGAUGGCGACCGGCGCACGGGUGAGUAACACGUAUCCAACCUGCCGAUAACUCGGGGAUAGCCUUUCGAAAGAAAGAUUAAUACCCGAUAGUAUAGUAUUUCCGCAUGGUUUCACUAUUAAAGAACUUCGGUUAUCGAUGGGGAUGCGUUCCAUUAGAUAGUUGGCGGGGUAACGGCCCACCAAGUCAACGAUGGAUAGGGGUUCUGAGAGGAAGGUCCCCCACAUUGGAACUGAGACACAGUCCAAACUCCUACGGGAGGCAGCAGUGAGGAAUAUUGGUCAAUGGACGAGAGUCUGAACCAGCCAAGUAGCGUGAAGGAUGACUGCCCUAGGGGUUGUAAACUUCUUUUAUACGGGAAUAAAGUGGAGUAUGCAUACUCCUUUGUAUGUACCGUAUGAAUAAGGAUCGGCUAACUCCGUG